GAUGAACGCUGGCGGCGUGCCUAAUACAUGCCAGUCGAGCGAACAGACGAGGAGCUUGCUCCUCUGAUGUUAGCGGCGGACGGGUGAGUAACACGUGGAUAACCUACCUAUAAGACUGGGAUAACUUCGGGAAACCGGAGCUAAUACCGGAUAACAUGUUGAACCGCAUGGUUCAACAGUGAAAGACGGUCUUGCUGUCACUUAUAGAUGGAUCCGCGCCGCAUUAGCUAGUUGGUAAGGUAACGGCUUACCAAGGCAACGAUGCGUAGCCGACCUGAGAGGGUGAUCGGCCACACUGGAACUGAGACACGGUCCAGACUCCUACGGGAGGCAGCAGUAGGGAAUCGUCCGCAAUGGGCGAAAGCCUGACGGAGCAACGCCGCGUGAGUGAAGAAGGUCUUCGGAUCGUAAAACUCUGUUAUUAGGGAAGAACAAAUGUGUAAGUAACUAUGCACGUCUUGACGGUACCUAAUCAGAAAGCCACGGCUAACUACGUG
Molecule: ribosomal RNA, 497 nt
Filed under: uncultured bacterium
Lineage: Bacteria
Description: partial 16S ribosomal RNA
Rfam family: Bacterial small subunit ribosomal RNA
Source: RNAcentral